GGGAGCGUGGCCGAGUGGUUAUGGCGCGUGACUCAAGUUCUGAUCUUUGUAUCAACUUACAGAAGACCUCAAAUCUUCUGGAUUUCUCGUAGGGAAACCUGCAGGGGUUCGAAUCCCCUCGCUCUCA
Molecule: non-coding RNA, 127 nt
Organism: Halenospora varia
Lineage: Eukaryota; Fungi; Ascomycota; Leotiomycetes; Helotiales; Solenopeziaceae
Source: the annotation of a GenBank genome assembly